Molecule: unclassified non-coding RNA, 299 nt
Rfam family: Metazoan signal recognition particle RNA
About the family: The signal recognition particle (SRP) is a universally conserved ribonucleoprotein. It is involved in the co-translational targeting of proteins to membranes.
Source: Ensembl
GGCAGGCGUGGUGGCACAUGCCUGCAGUCCCAGCUACACCGGAGACUGAGACUGGAGGAUCGAUUGAGUCUAGGAGUUCUAGGCUGUAGUGCGAUAUGCCAAUCGGGUGUGCACACUAAGUUCAGCAUCAAUAUGGUGACCUCCAGAGAGGUAGGGGGAGGGCACCAGGUUGCCUAAGGAGGGGUGAACCGGUCCAGGUCAGAAAUGGAGCAGGUCAAAACUCCCGAGCUUCCAUAGGGGCAUCUACAAAAUCUCUCAUAUUCUUUGGGAUAUGGCGUAGGCCAACUCCCUUGUGUCUA